Molecule: ribosomal RNA, 403 nt
Filed under: uncultured Treponema sp.
Lineage: Bacteria; Pseudomonadati; Spirochaetota; Spirochaetia; Treponematales; Treponemataceae
Description: bacterial SSU rRNA
Rfam family: Bacterial small subunit ribosomal RNA
Source: RNAcentral
CUAAGAAUAUUCCGCAAUGGACGAAAGUCUGACGGAGCGACGCCGCGUGGAUGAUGAAGGCCGGAAGGUUGUAAAAUCCUUUUAUGACUGAGGAAUAAGUGAAGUGAGGGAAACGCUUCAUGGUGACUGUAGGUCAUGAAUAAGCAACGGCUAAUUACGUGCCAGCAGCCGCGGUAACACGUAAGUUGCGAGCGUUGUUCGGAAUUAUUGGGCGUAAAGGGUAUGUAGGCGGUUCUGCAAGUCUGGUGUGAAAUGCCGGGGCUCAACCCCGGAACUGCGUUGGAAACUGCAGGACUUGAAUCGCUGAGGGGCAGCCAGAAUUCCAGGUGUAGGGGUGAAAUCUGUAGAUAUCUGGAGGAACACCAGUGGCGAAGGCGGCCUACUGGGCACCAACUGACGCUGA